Molecule: ribosomal RNA, 650 nt
Filed under: uncultured Haloferax sp.
Lineage: Archaea; Methanobacteriati; Methanobacteriota; Halobacteria; Halobacteriales; Haloferacaceae
Description: bacterial SSU rRNA
Rfam family: Archaeal small subunit ribosomal RNA
Source: RNAcentral
AUAGGGGAGUCACGCUGGAAUGCCGACUCUCCCAAACGCUUACGCGCCGUAGGAUGUGGCUGCGGCCGAUUAGGUAGACGGUGGGGUAACGGCCCACCGUGCCGAUAAUCGGUACGGGUUGUGAGAGCAAGAGCCCGGAGACGGAAUCUGAGACAAGAUUCCGGGCCCUACGGGGCGCAGCAGGCGCGAAACCUUUACACUGCACGCAAGUGCGAUAAGGGGACCCCAAGUGCGAGGGCAUAUAGUCCUCGCUUUUCCCGACUGUAAGGCGGUCGGGGAAUAAGAGCUGGGCAAGACCGGUGCCAGCCGCCGCGGUAAUACCGGCAGCUCAAGUGAUGACCGAUAUUAUUGGGCCUAAAGCGUCCGUAGCCGGCCACGAAGGUCUAUCGGGAAAUCCGCCAGCUCAACUGGCGGGCGUCCGGUGGAAACCACAUGGCUUGGGACCGGAAGGCUCGAGGGGUACGUCCGGGGUAGGAGUGAAAUCCCGUAAUCCUGGACGGACCACCGAUGGCGAAAGCACCUCGAGAAGACGGAUCCGACGGUGAGGGACGAAAGCUAGGGUCUCGAACCGGAUUAGAUACCCGGGUAGUCCUAGCUGUAAACGAUGCUCGCUAGGUGUGGCACAGGCUACGAGCCUGUGCUGUGCCGUA